Daphnia pulex (common water flea) is the source of this 558-nucleotide long non-coding RNA. RefSeq lists it as uncharacterized. The record is from RefSeq and is a predicted model, not a curated record. Lineage: Eukaryota; Metazoa; Arthropoda; Branchiopoda; Diplostraca; Daphniidae. The transcript is spliced from 2 exons.
UAAGACACAAUUUGUGAGGAAAGAUUUUUCUACCUGAUCCCGGGAAGUCCCUUUUGGACUUUUUAGUUAGGCGGGUUUACCCCAAAGUGAUUCAACAUCAGGCCUCCCUCCUCCAUCUUGCGUAUAAAAGGCGACUGCCAGGUAGCGAAUUUGGUCAGCGAUAUUGAUUCAGCGGUUCGAGAUGGAUGUCAAUGACGAGGAUGGUUGGUCGUUCGUUUACAUUGUUCGAAGGCCGAUUGAAGACGGAAAAACUCGUCAAUCUAUUCGAUGACGGUCCAGCGGAAAUUCAUCACCUAUGGGAAAAACGAAAAGAUUGACUGUUUUAAUUAAGAUUGGAGUUUUUGAAGUCAAGGUAUCAUAAUUUCUUACUACAAUCUCACGGUCUGUGAACAAAAUCAUCAGCCCUCACCUCCUAACACUGCUGAACUUUUUCAAAUAGUUGCUGACUCAUUUUGUAACCUUCGGAAUUUUAUUGUCUAUGAAUCUGUGUCCCGUAAUUCGGGGAUUUUUUUUCAGGAAUACAUUUCGCGUUUGGCCUAGCUCAAGGCUUUUUCUAAA